Molecule: unclassified non-coding RNA, 2805 nt
Filed under: Daphnia magna
Lineage: Eukaryota; Metazoa; Arthropoda; Branchiopoda; Diplostraca; Daphniidae
Description: uncharacterized LOC123470017, transcript variant X1
Source: RNAcentral
UAGUGUCCAGUGUUAGUUAGAGUAGAGUUAGUGUUAGAGUCGCCAUUUUCGUUUCAUACAAUUUCAUUAUUUUUAAUGGCGUGUCGGCGACAACGAUCUGAUUUAGUGGGGCCGAGGCAAAAAAGACGAAAUGUAAGUGAAGCGGUUCGUGAUAGUUACAUGACAACUGACGUGCACUUAACUUCCUAUGAGGUUGACCAUAGUGCUGGUGAAAAUCAUCUCGCUGUAGUUUCUCGUGUGAAAUUGAACACGGUUGAAGAUCUGCAAAGUGAAACAAGUAAUUUUUAUGACGGUGAAACCAAUUGGGUGUCCAGUGAUAGUGAUGUUGACAAUGACGGUGGCUUAGAAACGUUGUCUACAACUUUGUUAGACGAAAAACUAAUUUUUCGACAGACGAAGACCAUAAGUUCUUUCCGUGAGAAGCUGGCAUCAUGGGUGGUCGAUUGUCAAGUGAAUCAAAGUUAUGUUGACAAAUUACUUUUCAUUCUAAAAACAAUUCCUGAAAGCCAUUUAUUAGAUCUUCCAGAAACAUGUCGUUCAUUAUUACAUACUGUUCGAAAAACCCCGUUAAAAAUAGUCGACCCGGGCCAUUACCAUCACUUGAGAAUUGCUAACGGCAUUUUGCAAAUGCUUUUCAAAUUGAAAAUCAUAAAUCUCUCCAAUCCUAAAAUUAAACUCAUUGUUAACGUUGAUGGCAUUCCCAUUGCAAAGAGCUCCGGCAGUCAAUUCUGGCCUAUAUUAGGCCUCAUUGUUGAUAUUCUAAAUUCAAAACCAUUUCUCAUUGGCAUUUACCAUGGUCACAGUAAGCCAAAAAACGCCAACUUGUUCCUUGAAGAUUUUGUAAACGAAAUGUUACAAUUGACAGAGUCAGGGCUUGUAAGUAACGGACAAAAUUUAAAAAUUGAAUUGUUGGGUUUCGUGUGUGAUGCUCCGGCAAGAGCAUACAUAUCCGCCACCAAGUCUCACAGUGGGUAUUCGAGCUGCUCAAAGUGCAUCGAAGAGGGUGAUUGGGAGGGGAAGGUGGUUUUUUUUAACGAAAACGCACCACUUCGCAGUGAUGCAACGUUUAGAAAACGAGAACAUGAAGACCAUCACACUGGAAAAACAAUAUUAGAACGAUUGCCCAUUGACAUGGUUCAGUCCUUCCCUCUUGAUUACAUGCAUUUAGUUUGCCUCGGGAUAAUGCGCAAGUUGCUUUGGGCUUGGAUUCGUGGUUCUUUAAAAUGCCGAAUUGGUCUCAGAAGUGUUAACAAGAUAUCGAAUUUUUUGUUAGUUAUUUCUAGCUAUAUUCCUGCCGACUUUGCGCGUAAACCCAGGUCCCUUUGCGAACUAGCAAGAUGGAAAGCCACGGAAUUACGUCAAUUUCUUUUGUACACUGGUCCCGUCGUCUUAAAACCAAUUUUACCAAAACCACUCUAUUUGCAUUUUUUAUUACUACACACAGGUAUCAAGAUUUUGACUCACAAAUUGUUAAGCCAACAAUUUAACGAUUACGCAAAACAAUUACUUGUCCUUUUUGUGAGUCAAUGUCGAGAACUUUAUGAGAAAGAUUUCUUAUCUUACAACGUACACAACUUGAUACACCUGGCUGAUGACGUAAAAACUUUUGGACACUUAGACAAUUUUUGUGCAUUCCAUUUGAAAAUCAUUUGCAGCAAAUCAAAAAGCUAAUCAGAAAACACGAUAAGCCCUUACCUCAAGUGAUAAGGCGAAUAAUCGAAAUAGAAAAAAAUUUAUUGAAUGAAGCUGAAAAGGAAGAAGUAGGUGCCGUUACAUUAACAAGAAAACAUUUAAAUGGGCCGGUUUUGAACAAUUGUUCCGGUAGUCAAUUUAUGUGCUUGACAGUAAAAUCUUACUGUAAUUUAAAAUCUUAUACUGCUGCUGACUGCUGCGUAAUUCUUCAUGGCGAGACUAUUGUAAAAAUUUGCAAUUUUGUUCAAUACGAGUCGGGAAUAUUUUUUGUCGGUCAACAGUUUAAAGUAAAAAAAAAUCUGUUUGACUCGCCUAUUGAGUCAUCGCGACUUGGCAUUUAUGUAGUAAAUCAGUUGGCUGCCAUGCAUUAUUGGCCUGUAUCGCGGUUUAAAUCAAAAGCUGUAAUGAUUCCUGUUCGCGCCGAAAAAUUUGACAGUUUUGCCGUUUUCCCGUUAUUGUUUGAACAAAUGGGGCACUAAAUACAUCCAUAAUUGCGUAUGUCCUUCCUAACUUCUUUAAGAACAAUUAAUGGCCUACCUAAUCUUGUUAUCCGGCAACUAUGCUUUACCCUACCUUUUACAUGUGACUGACUGCUGUGCUGGAGAUAAUUUGUCUGCAUACUUUUUACAAGACCAGGAUAAAAACAUCUUCCUUAACAUUGCUUUUAAUGAUUUUUCAUAUUGGAUAAUUCUUUGUGUCACAUCACUCAUCAUAGUGUGAUUAUAAGCCCUCUUACUUUGGUAAAAAAAAGAAGAUCAACAUUUUUUCCAGAUGUUUUGUGUCGUCGAAUUUCUCGAUGAAGGUAAAGGGAGUGCAGUUGAAAUCGUGCCAAAGUCUUGGUGUGUUGGACACAAACAUUGUUGGUGGCCUCCAUCACUGCAUACCGCAGAUGACUUGACAAAGCUUCUCAUGAAAUCAGGACCGAUAGAUGAGUCCACAUGGACCAUACACAUUGCAGCAGUCCUUGCUUCAUACAAUAAUUAUGGAGAAGCUAAUGUAAAUGUUGCAAAAGCUAUGAAAGGCUUGCCAAUUCAUAGCAGUACUGACAUCGAAGAUCUGGGGAAACAUAAACGGAAGCGGAAAGCUACAAUGAAGGCAGCCUCAGCCUCCUCG